Molecule: ribosomal RNA, 253 nt
Filed under: uncultured bacterium
Lineage: Bacteria
Description: partial 16S ribosomal RNA
Rfam family: Bacterial small subunit ribosomal RNA
Source: RNAcentral
UACGGGGGGUGCGAGCGUUGUCCGGAAUCACUGGGCGUAAAGGGCGCGUAGGUGGCCUGAUAAGGGUGUGGUGAAAGUCCGGGGCUCAACCCCGGAUCUGCCGUGCCGACUGUCAGGCUAGAGUACUGUAGGGGCAGGCGGAAUUCCCAGUGUAGAGGUGAAAUUCGUAGAUAUUGGGAAGAACACCGGUGGCGAAGGCGGCUCACUGGCCCGAAACUGACGCUCAUGCACGACAGCGUGGGGAUCAAACAGG